Camellia sinensis is the source of this 1768-nucleotide non-coding RNA. NCBI's taxonomy places the organism in Eukaryota, Viridiplantae, Streptophyta, Magnoliopsida, Ericales, Theaceae. The record is from RefSeq and is a predicted model, not a curated record.
UGUUAGUUUGAUUUGGAAUAUGAAUUAUAUCGUGUUAGUUUGUACUAGGAAUAUGAAUCCCAAACAUUGAAGAAAUGACAUUUUCUGUUAUCCCAAUUGGUGAAAUAUGACUCACUCAAUAAAUUCUUGAUGGAGAUGUAAUUUUUUACUAGGUUUGGUUAAUUAAUAACAAAUUCUUGAUGGAGAUGUAAUUUUUUACUAGGUUUGGUUAAUUAAUAACAAAUUCUUGAUGGAGAUGUAAUUUUUUACUAGGUUUGGUUAAUUAAUAACAAAUUCUUGAUGGAGAUGUAAUUUUUUACUAGGUUUGGUUAAUUAAUAACAACCCAAACACGACCUUAAUGAGACAAACUAGGUCAUACCAGAUUCACACUUACCAUCAACUAAUUUCUUGACUUCAGUUCAACAACUACCUUCAUUCCUAUCCAUCAAAAGGCGAGUGAAACUGAAAUCAAUUUGUCUAUGUUGAUAUGCAUUUCAUUUCUUUGACUUGUGUUAUAAAGUAUAGAUUAUCUUUGACUGAGCAAUUCAAUUUUCUUGUAAUUGAUUAGAAUCCUUAUAUCUUAUUAUAAAGCUAAUGGUUUAAAUCUUAUUCCUUUUCUCAAAUUAUGACUUUUGCUAUACAAAAAUAAAGGAAAAAGUUUCGUAGCUCGAAUAAGUUGAUCAUGUUUUGCUGCUAACCCAUAAGUUAUAGUUGUUGAGAUUAUGUAGUUGGUCUAAAGUUUACUCUAAUCAACUUGAGUUUAGUCAGGAAAAAAUUAAAUGCAUUGCAUAUUAUAUAUGCAGAUUACAGACCUAUGUUUCUUCUUCUACUAAUAAUAGCAACAUAAUAGUAAAACCUAGAUUGUGUGUUUGGGAGUUUGGAGAUUUUUGGGUGUCUUCGGAGUCGGAUUGAUUUUUGGUCCUGGCUGGUUUAAUGGAUCUUUUCGUUUUCGGGACUGCCAUGUUAGGGACUCUUCUCCGGCACUGAAGGGUCCUCUGGUUUUGUCUUCGAAUUUGUGAAAGGUGAGGCAAUCUGCUGGCUGCAACAUGUGAAUUUUCUGGGCUUUCGGCGUGAAUGUGGCAGCAUCAACUAUGUUAUUGCUGGUCGAGGCUUGUAACUACAGGAUGCAAACACAGGUGAUCAUGGCAGUUUUCAGGAAGCUUUCUUGAUGCAAUUUCAAAAUCUUAUCACCCCUAUAUUAGUGAUUGGCCUGUUUCUUUCAUCAUUUUCAUUUGGUCCUCGUAAGCAACAACAGAUUAGUUUCCAAGAGUUCAAAAACAAGCUCCUGGAACCGGGUUUAGUAGACCAUGUAGUUGUUUCGAAUAAAUCAGUUGCAAAAGUGUAUGUAAGGAGCUCACCACGCAAUCAAACAAGCAAUGAUGUCGUUGAGGGACCAGUUGUCCAAGGACCUGCUGAUCCAAGCAAGAGCCAAUAUAAAUAUUAUUUCAAUAUUGGAAGUGUUGAAUCAUUUGAGGAGAAGUUGGAGGAAGCCCAGGAAGCAUUGGGGAUAGAUUCUCAUGAUUAUGUUCCUGCUACACAUACUUCUGAAAUGGUUUGGUACCAAGAGUUGGUUUGGUACCAAGAAUAUAUGUUACCUCUUCAAUUUUGUUAUGAAUUGAAUGUCGUGUUGUGAUGGAUUGUUAUUGAUUGUGAUAGACUAAUAGUAGUAGAUAGUUAUUGAUGAUGGAUUGUGCUGGAUUGUGUUGUGACUAUUAGAAAGCACAAACAGCAGGUGCUGGACUAAUGGAUUUUUGGUAUAUCAUGAUUGUUUCAAUAUGUCAGCACCUA